RNAcentral lists this ribosomal RNA (377 nucleotides) under uncultured bacterium. RNAcentral describes it as "bacterial SSU rRNA". It matches the Rfam family "Bacterial small subunit ribosomal RNA", at positions 521 to 896 of the family's 1533-position model. The record is from RNAcentral.
UAAUACGUAGGGGGCGAGCGUUAUCCGGAAUCAUUGGGCGUAAAGGGCGCGUAGGCGGAUAUUUAAGUCAGGUGUGAAAACCCAGGGCUCAACCCUGGAUCUGCAUCUGAUACUGGGUAUCUUGAGGACAGGAGAGGAAAGUGGAAUUCCUAGUGUAGCGGUGAAAUGCGUAGAUAUUAGGAGGAACACCAGUGGCGAAGGCGACUUUCUGGACUGUAACUGACGCUGAGGCGCGAAAGCGUGGGGAGCAAACAGGAUUAGAUACCCUGGUAGUCCACGCCGUAAACGAUGAGUGCUAGGUGUAGGGGGUAUCGACCCCUCCUGUGCCGCAGUUAACACAAUAAGCACUCCGCCUGGGGAGUACGGCCGCAAGGUUG